GGGUCAAUAAUUACAGCCCAAUAUCAUGGAGAGAUGUGAUGACAUCAAAAUAAUCAUCUAGGUGUAUGCUGAAGCCC
Arvicanthis niloticus (Nile rat) is the source of this 77-nucleotide small nucleolar RNA. RefSeq annotates it as small nucleolar RNA SNORD115. The record is from RefSeq and is a predicted model, not a curated record. NCBI's taxonomy places the organism in Eukaryota, Metazoa, Chordata, Mammalia, Rodentia, Muridae.